CUCCUUCCUCCCACACCAUCGUUGCCGCGUCGCCUUCGCGUUUCCCAAUUCCGAGUUUGUUAAGUGUUUCUCACUCGCGCCUCGUCCGGCGCGUCGGUAUGUUGCCGUGACGAGGGGAGUGGGGGAAGGGGUAGAGGAAAGUGCGAGGAGGUCAAAGUGUCAGCGACAUUAAUAUCUCAUACAUCUGCAUAGAGAGGACUCGUUAAACAUAUCCGAGAUAAAAGCUAACAUACACGACAAUAAUAUAUAUAUAUAUAUAUAUAUAUAUAUAUAUAUAUAUAUACACGAACAUACGCGUACAUGCACACGCACAAAUAUAUACAUUUAGAAAGACACAAAUAUAUACGUUUUCGAAUGCACAUAUUUCUCUUGGUGCAGCAUAGACCCGGUCUGCACAUUUCGAUGAUGGGAAAGGAAGAAGUUUUAGUGGGGGUGAGAGGGAGGAACAGGUUUUGUCCUCCCUCCAUAGAGCGUGACGUUACUACAAGAUCAUUUGGUAGAAGAGUGAACGGAGUGUGCAGGAACCACCCACGCGGCAAAAACAGAAGUAAAAAAAAGAGAGAGAGAGAGAGAGAGAGAGCUGAAUCGCACGCUUUGCGGUUUCUCUAAUGCGUAACGGUGUUCACAAAGAGAGAGAGAGAGAGAGAGAGAGAGAGAGAGAGAGAGAGAGAGAGAGAUGGUGAACAUUUUUUAUAUAGUUGAUUCUCUUUACGGUGAAGGAUUCGUCAUCGGACAAUUGCGUGGACAAAUCCAAACUGAGAUAUGUUAUAGCGUUAAUAGAUACUACUUACUACUUAAAUCGAUCGUGUAAAUCGAAUAAUUAAAUUAUAGAAAAAUAUUCAGUCAAAGUCUGUUAAUAAAUCUUUACUCAAUGUAUAUAAUAAAGCAGACGUUAAAAUAUA
Vespula vulgaris is the source of this 902-nucleotide long non-coding RNA. RefSeq lists it as uncharacterized. NCBI's taxonomy places the organism in Eukaryota, Metazoa, Arthropoda, Insecta, Hymenoptera, Vespidae. The record is from RefSeq and is a predicted model, not a curated record. The transcript has 2 exons.